Magallana angulata is the source of this 598-nucleotide long non-coding RNA. RefSeq lists it as uncharacterized. The transcript is spliced from 3 exons. The record is from RefSeq and is a predicted model, not a curated record. NCBI's taxonomy places the organism in Eukaryota, Metazoa, Mollusca, Bivalvia, Ostreida, Ostreidae.
AUCUAGAUGUGUACAGACAAAUCCUUCCAUUGUGAAAUCCGCACUUUUAUGAAGUCUGAUUUUAUUAUUAUGCGCCUCCAUUACUAACUAUAUUGAACUAGCGUCUCUGAAACUCACGACCAUUGCUUCACAGGUCACAUAUAUGCGACUGAUCGACUAAGCAAUCGGUUCCAAAUUUUGAACAUGAUUGUACAUGUAUGUUUCCUUUUAAAAAGGAUUUACUCUUAAGCGUGAUAGAGAAAAACAACAAACGCCUGGAAAGUCUGAACGAUUUUCAGAUUUCCAAACAAAUUGAGUGGAGAAUGGAUUAUUUCGGGGGUAUUUUGAAGGAGGACAAAGUAUCUCUCCUACCAUUGAUGUGUACUUUGUAGAACAGAAUGAUAGAGCUCUAUGUAUCGACAUUUCUAGUCGUGGACUUCCAAUCUGUCAAGAAACUGCCAUGUAAAGACGUUUGCUUUAGCCACUCAAUGCUGUGUUCAGUCUUUACUUCAUUUAAUGCUUUUCAGAAUUUUGUAAACCUAAAAGUUUUUGUUCUAUACAUUUGCUUAUUAUUCAUAAAGUAUACAAGAUUUUAUAAAUCUUGAAUGUGAGGAUAUUU